Molecule: transfer RNA, 69 nt
Filed under: Dasypogon diadema
Lineage: Eukaryota; Metazoa; Arthropoda; Insecta; Diptera; Asilidae
Description: tRNA-Trp
Rfam family: tRNA
About the family: Transfer RNA (tRNA) molecules are approximately 80 nucleotides in length. Their secondary structure includes four short double-helical elements and three loops (D, anti-codon, and T loops).
Source: RNAcentral
AAGGCUUUAAGUUAAAUAAACUAAUAGCCUUCAAAGCUAUAAAUAUAAGAAAAUACCUUUUAAGCCUUA